UCGACGGCAGCACGGGAGCAUCCUGGUGGCGAGUGGCGAACGGGUGAGUAAUAUAUCGGAACGUGCCCAGUCGUGGGGGAUAACGCAGCGAAAGCUGUGCUAAUACCGCAUACGAUCUAUGGAUGAAAGCGGGGGAUCGCAAGACCUCGCGCGAUUGGAGCGGCCGAUAUCAGAUUAGGUAGUUGGUGGGGUAAAAGCCCACCAAGCCGACGAUCUGUAGCUGGUCUGAGAGGACGACCAGCCACACUGGAACUGAGACACGGUCCAGACUCCUACGGGAGGCAGCAGUGGGGAAUUUUGGACAAUGGGCGCAAGCCUGAUCCAGCAAUGCCGCGUGCAGGAUGAAGGCCUUCGGGUUGUAAACUGCUUUUGUACGGAACGAAACGGUCCUUUCUAAUACAAGGGGCUAAUGACGGUACCGUAAGAAUAAGCACCGGCUAAC
RNAcentral lists this ribosomal RNA (442 nucleotides) under uncultured bacterium. Its description in RNAcentral is "bacterial SSU rRNA". It matches the Rfam family "Bacterial small subunit ribosomal RNA", at positions 62 to 501 of the family's 1533-position model. The record is from RNAcentral.